This 497-nucleotide ribosomal RNA is filed under the name uncultured bacterium. RNAcentral describes it as "partial 16S ribosomal RNA". It matches the Rfam family "Bacterial small subunit ribosomal RNA", at positions 28 to 507 of the family's 1533-position model. The record is from RNAcentral.
GAUGAACGCUGGCGGCGUGCCUAAUACAUGCAAGUCGAGCGAACAGACGAGGAGCUUGCUCCUCUGACGUUAGCGGCGGACGGGUGAGUAACACGUGGAUAACCUACCUAUAAGACUGGGAUAACUUCGGGAAACCGGAGCUAAUACCGGAUAAUAUAUUGAACCGCAUGGUUCAAUAGUGAAAGACGGUUUUGCUGUCACUUAUAGAUGGAUCCGCGCCGCAUUAGCUAGUUGGUAAGGUAACAGCUUACCAAGGCAACGAUGCGUAGCCGACCUGAGAGGGAGAUCGGCCACACUGGAACUGAGACACGGUCCAGACUCCUACGGGAGGCAGCAGUAGGGAAUCUUCCGCAAUGGGCGAAAGCCUGACGGAGCAACGCCGCGUGAGUGAUGAAGGUCUUCGGAUCGUAAAACUCUGUUAUUAGGGAAGAACAAAUGUGUAAGUAACUAUGCACGUCUUGACAGUACCUAAUCAGAAAGCCACGGCUAACUACGUG